GACGAACGCUGGCGGCGUGCUUAACACAUGCGAGUCGAACGAUGAUCAGGAGCUUGCUCCUGUGAUUAGUGGCGAACGGGUGAGUAACACGUGAGUAACCUGCCCCUGACUCUGGGAUAAGCGUUGGAAACGACGUCUAAUACUGGAUAUGAUCACUGGCCGCAUGGUCUGGUGGUGGAAAGAUUUUUUGGUUGGGGAUGGACUCGCGGCCUAUCAGCUUGUUGGUGAGGUAAUGGCUCACCAAGGCGACGCCGGGUAGCCGGCCUGAGAGGGUGACCGCCCACACUGGGACUGAGACACGGCCCAGACUCCUACGUGAGGCAGCAGUGGGGAAUAUUGCACAAUGGGCGAAAGCCUGAUGCAGCAACGCCGCGUGAGGGAUGACGUCCUUCGGGGUGUAAACCUCUUUUAGUAGGGAAGAAGCGAAAGUGACGGUACCUGCAGAAAAAGCACCGGCUAACUACGUG
RNAcentral lists this ribosomal RNA (467 nucleotides) under uncultured bacterium. Its description in RNAcentral is "partial 16S ribosomal RNA". It matches the Rfam family "Bacterial small subunit ribosomal RNA", at positions 28 to 507 of the family's 1533-position model. The record is from RNAcentral.